CUUUGUGUGCUGACCUGAUCGAGCGAUGGUUGGUGGGAAGGUCCGGCGGAAUUUCCAGCGGUAUUUGAGAGAUGUGGUCGUCUGUCCGAUUUUUUUAAUGUAUACAGCAGAGAAACUAAAUGUUUGUUUUUUAUUUUAUAUGAAGUUUCUAUUGUACGUCGCAUUAAAAAUAAUAUUAUUACACUUUGAAAAUGGUAACAAAGAUAUUUGUCAAUAAUGGUGAAACAGUUGCAACA
RNAcentral lists this long non-coding RNA (236 nucleotides) under Lathyrus oleraceus (garden pea). RNAcentral describes it as "Pisum sativum (pea) long non-coding RNA (PSAT_LNC031978)". Lineage: Eukaryota; Viridiplantae; Streptophyta; Magnoliopsida; Fabales; Fabaceae. The record is from RNAcentral.